RNAcentral lists this ribosomal RNA (484 nucleotides) under uncultured bacterium. RNAcentral's name for it is "partial 16S ribosomal RNA". It matches the Rfam family "Bacterial small subunit ribosomal RNA", at positions 30 to 507 of the family's 1533-position model. The record is from RNAcentral.
AUUGAACGCUGGCGGCAGGCCUAACACAUGCAAGUCGAGCGGAUGAAGGGAGCUUGCUCCUGGAUUCAGCGGAGGACGGGUGAGUAAUGCCUAGGAAUCUGCCUGGUAGUGAGGGAUAACGUCCGGAAACGGGCGCUAAUACCGCAUACGUCCUGAGGGAGAAAGUGGGGGAUCUUCGGACCUCACGCUAUCAGAUGAGUCUAGGUCGGAUUAGCUAGUUGGUGGGGUAAAGGCCUACCAAGGCGACGAUCCGUAACUGGUCUGAGAGGAUGAUCAGUCACACUGGAACUGAGACACGGUCCAGACUCCUACGGGAGGCAGCAGUGGGGAAUAUUGGACAAUGGGCGAAAGCCUGAUCCAGCCAUGCCGCGUGUGUGAAGAAGGUCUUCGGAUUGUAAAGCACUUUAAGUUGGGAGGAAGGGCAGUAAGUUAAUACCUUGCUGUUUUGACGUUACCAACAGAAUAAGCACCGGCUAACUUCGUG